UGGGGAAUAUUGCGCAAUGGACGAAAGUCUGACGCAGCAACGCCGCGUGGGUGAUGAAGGCCUUCGGGUUGUAAAGCCCUGUCGCCCGGGACGAACAAGCUCGUGAAGAACGAGCCCUGACGGUACCGGGAGAGGAAGCACCGGCUAACUCUGUGCCAGCAGCCGCGGUAAUACAGAGGGUGCUAGCGUUGUUCGGAAUUAUUGGGCGUAAAGGGCGCGUAGGCGGCUUCGUAUGUCGGGUGUGAAAUCCCACCUCUUAAAGGUGGAAUUGCAUUCGAAACUACGGGGCUGGAGUGCCGGAGAGGAUGGUGGAAUUCCUGGUGUAGAGGUGAAAUUCGUAGAUAUCAGGAGGAACACCGGUGGCGAAGGCGGCCAUCUGGACGGUAACUGACGCUGAGGCGCGAAAGCGUGGGGAUCAAACAGG
This 424-nucleotide ribosomal RNA is filed under the name uncultured bacterium. Its description in RNAcentral is "bacterial SSU rRNA". It matches the Rfam family "Bacterial small subunit ribosomal RNA", at positions 355 to 776 of the family's 1533-position model. The record is from RNAcentral.